Molecule: ribosomal RNA, 343 nt
Filed under: uncultured fungus
Lineage: Eukaryota; Fungi
Description: eukaryotic LSU rRNA
Source: RNAcentral
GUGAGUCAUCGAAUCUUUGAACGCACAUUGCACUCCUUUGGAGUAUGCCUGUUUGAGAAUCUAUAGUAUUUAUUUUUGGUUAUUUCGCAAGAGAUGAUCAAGAGAUUUGAGAUGUCUCGUCUUCUGGGCGAGUAUCUUUAAUGUUAUAGCCUCUUUUGUGGUAAAACAACUCUUGCAGAACAGUAUUUGAAUGGAACUUUGGUUUCUUUAAUGCCCAAUACGCAGACUUACCUAUUGAAAGGGGGGUCCAUAAACUUAAAGUAGUACCGUCGGUGUCUACUUGAACCAUGGUCUCAAAUCAGGUAGGAAGACCCGCUGAACUUAAGCAUAUCAAUAAGCGGAG